Mesocricetus auratus (golden hamster) is the source of this 1404-nucleotide long non-coding RNA. RefSeq lists it as uncharacterized. The transcript has 3 exons. The record is from RefSeq and is a predicted model, not a curated record. NCBI's taxonomy places the organism in Eukaryota, Metazoa, Chordata, Mammalia, Rodentia, Cricetidae.
AUUAGCCCUAAGAGCUGAAGUGGAGGGCAGGGUGCACCUAGAAUAAUAACCUCAGUGGGGAGAGAAGGAAACGGCUUAGGUUCACCAAGUCCUGCAAACAGUAAUGUAACACCCCGGAGGGCUGUGGGCAUCUCUGCACAGACAUCCUGGUCCACGGAAGAGAGAAGCCCCGGCCAGUUCUAAAUCGUGGAUCUCAUUCCCUGGGGUCACCACUAAUCGCCAGUGUCUCACAGACAGACAGACUUCCUGUAGCCCCUGUGCAGAGCCAGCCUUCUUCCCUGAAGACUGGAAGGGAAGAUAAAAUCGAGCCCUGAAAUACGGAUUAAGUCAGAUGUUGGGAACGUUUAAACAAGUAGAAUAAGAAGAGGACCUACGUGUAAAACACAGCUGGAGAGGCCUGGUGCCUGCUCAGUGACCUGCUUACCACACUGAGUGAUGUGAAUAAUUUAUCUCAUUUCACCCUGCAUUAAGAACCGGGAGGAUUAAUCUUCAGUUCAUUUCAGAACACGUCAACCCCUCCCUGCCUCAGUCUACCAUUUCCUGGGGGGGGCAUCCAGGAAAACCUCUCUACUGUUCUUGUGCUAGACAGUAGUGACUAGCCUAACCCACCAGUCCCUUUCCAGGAAUCCACAAGGAACACAGAGUGACAGCCAGUGUUGCCUAUGUGUGGGGCACCCCCUCGCCUGUAACCUCCAAACCUUCCCAGGCCUGGGCUGACUUCCUCCGAGUCCUUUCCAUCUCUCUCAUCCAUCCCUUUAAUUCUAGGCCAGAUGCACAGUCCAAGCUCAUGCUCUCAUACUGGGCCCUGAGCUCUGACUUUCCCCAUUCUUCCUGGGUGUGGACGGACACAGCCUUCCUCAUCUAGACGACCAGGCCUCCCGAUGCCCAGCACCACCUCUCCACCCCGGCCUCACCUCCCUGCUUAAUCCCACUCAUCUCCUCCGGUACAGUCCAGAUGGCCCACAGUCAGCUCCCCGCCUCCACUUCCCCUUUUACCUUUGCCCUCCCCUCCAAAGGGACUUCUCCCUGCCUUCCUGGUACCCACUGCAGCCAAGAGGCCUGUCACUGGGUGAGCUUGUGACCACACUGAGCUGGAGCCGGAGUUCUGGAGUGGGGACACUAGGACGUCUGUCCCACAGAGAUGUGGGCAGGGUAAACUGGUUGGAAGCGGAGCCUCGGAGACACCCCCAAACUGUGAUGGGAACCCAGCUGGUUCGGCGCAGAGCAAUGAAAAGAGCAAGCUUCUCUAACGGCCUGGCUCACAUUUUCCACACGAUUAAGGAGGCCCUGAUCGCCUGGGGCAGAAGCGUGCUUUUAACCUGGGCUCUCGGGAGGAGGUUUAUGAGGGGUGGGCGGACUUUUCCAAGCCACUCCUUCACAUUUCUGUUGCCCUCAUCCCACUAA